GCAAGUCGAACGUGAAGCAGGAGCUUGCUCCUGUGGAAAGUGGCAGACGGGUGAGUAACGCGUGGGAACCUACCCAGGGGUACGGGAUAACUCAGGGAAACUUGUGCUAAUACCGUAUACGUCCUCAGGGAGAAAGAUUUAUCGCCCCUGGAUGGGCCCGCGUUGGAUUAGCUUGUUGGUGAGGUAAAAGCUCACCAAGGCGACGAUCCAUAGCUGGUUUGAGAGGAUGAUCAGCCACACUGGGACUGAGACACGGCCCAGACUCCUACGGGAGGCAGCAGUGGGGAAUAUUGGACAAUGGGGGAAACCCUGAUCCAGCCAUGCCGCGUGGGUGAAGAAGGCCUUAGGGUUGUAAACCCCUUUCAGCAGGGAAGAUAAUGACGGUACCUGCAGAAGAAGCUCCGGCUAACUCCGUGCCAGCAGCCGCGGUAAUACGGAGGGAGCUAGCGUUGUUCGGAAUUACUGGGCGUAAAGCGCACGUAGGCGGAUUGGUCAGUUGGAGGUGAAAUCCCAGGGCUCAACCCUGGAACUGCCUUCAAUACUGCCAGUCUAGAGAUCGGAAGAGGUGAGUGGAAUUCCUAGUGUAGAGGUGAAAUUCGUAGAUAUUAGGAGGAACACCA
This 620-nucleotide ribosomal RNA is filed under the name uncultured bacterium. RNAcentral's name for it is "bacterial SSU rRNA". It matches the Rfam family "Bacterial small subunit ribosomal RNA", at positions 57 to 711 of the family's 1533-position model. The record is from RNAcentral.